Molecule: ribosomal RNA, 492 nt
Filed under: uncultured bacterium
Lineage: Bacteria
Description: partial 16S ribosomal RNA
Rfam family: Bacterial small subunit ribosomal RNA
Source: RNAcentral
AGUGAACGCUGGCGGUAGGCUUAACACAUGCAAGUCGAACGGCAGCACAGUAAGAGCUUGCUCUUACGGGUGGCGAGUGGCGGACGGGUGAGGUAUAUAUCGGAAUCUACUUUUUCGUGGGGGAUAACGUAGGGAAACUUACGCUAAUACCGCAUACGACCUACGGGUGAAAGCAGGGGAUCUUCGGACCUUGCGCGAUUGAAUGAGCCGAUGUCGGAUUAGCUAGUUGGCGGGGUAAAGGCCCACCAAGGCGCCGAUCCGUAGCUGGUCUGAGAGGAUGGUCGGCGACACUGGAACUGGGACACGGUCCAGACUCCUACGGGAGGCAGCAGUGGGGAAUAUUGGGCAGUAGGCGCGAGCCUGAUCCAGCCAUACCGCGUGGGUGGAGGAGGCCUUCGGGUUGUGAAGCCCGUUUGUUGGGAAAGAAAAGCAGCAGGUUAAUACCACGCUGUUCUGACGGUACCCAAAGAAUAAGCACCGGCUAACUUCGUG